GCUCUUUCUUCCUUUAACUCAGAGAGAGACAGAGGGAGAGAGAUGGCUCAGGCUGAGUCUUUAGGUCUCCAUUUAUUAUUUAUCUUCUUUCCUGGCCUGUAAUGUACCAAGAUCUGAAACUCAUCUUAUUCUUGAAGAAGAUGGCUAAACAUUAUCCUCACUCAACUGCACUGCAAGAACCUCAAUAUCAACCAGCACCUACAUUUCUCAAUGAUGCUCUCUACUGCUCUGAGGAGAAUUGGGAGGAAGAAGUUAGAGAGGGCUAUUUUCAUCAAGAAGAAGAACAAGGGGACAGCUAUUGCUGUAAUGACAAUAAGAAACAAGACUGUUCUGCAGUCCUGUUAGAACAAGACUUGUACUGGGAAGAGGAGGAGCUUUCCUCUUUUUUUGCCAAACAAGAGCAAAAUCAAUUAUAUGAUCAACUAGAAACCAACCCAUCUCUAGCUGAGGCUCGCCGUGAGGCUGUAAACUGGAUGCUCAAGGUCAAUGCGCACUACUCUUUCACUGCUCUAACUGCAGUUUUGGCCGUCAACUAUCUUGAUAGAUUCCUGUUUAGCUUCCACCUUCAAACAAAGAAGCCAUGGAUGACCCAACUUGCCGCUGUGGCUUGUCUCUCCCUUGCUGCCAAGGUAGAGGAGACCCAGGUGCCUCUUUUAUUGGACCUUCAGGUGGAGGACAGUAGGUAUGUGUUUGAGGCCAAAACCAUCCAGAGAAUGGAGAUUCUGGUGCUCUCUACUCUUCAGUGGAGAAUGAAUCCUAUAACUCCAUUAUCAUUUGUUGAUUUCAUUGCGAGGAGGCUUGGCUCAAAGGGCUAUCUUUGCUCGGAAUUUCUCUGGAGAUGUGAGAGAAUAGUUGUGUCUAUAAUCUCAGGCAAGACAUCAGCAUCUUUUCCAUCUCUUGCUCAAUAAUUAAGCUUCUUAGUAUAUUGGUUUUUUGAUUUUUUACCAUAAUGUUUCCUUAAUGCAUGCAGAUUCUAGGUCUAUGCAUUAUCUACCUUCUGUGAUUGCUACUGCGGCAAUGCUGCAUGUAAUUAAUGGUGUAGAACCCUUUCUUGGAGCUGAAUACGAAAGCCAGCUAUUGGGUAUUCUAGGAAUCGACAAGGUGAGUUCCCUUUCCCAUUCAAUGGAUUGAAUUCCACAUUGUCUAUCAAUUUCGAACAAGAAAAUCUCAUUUUAUACUGAAUCUUGAAUUUGGACAACUUCCGAACAGAACAAGAUGGAUGAUUGCAGCCAGCUCAUAAUAGAAAUGGCAUCGAGAGACCCUGGCAGCCGCUCAAACAAACGAAAGUUUAUUUCCAUUCCAGGCAGUCCAAACGGCGUAAUGGAUGUGUCGUUUAGCUCAGAUAGCUCAAAUGAUUCAUGGGCAGUGGCAUCACCAUUGUCUUCUUCACCAGAGCCUCUGUCCAAGAAGAGCAGGGCACUGCAGAGUUCAAACCAUGAAACUGCAGAUUUUCUGAACGUUCCUCGCUGAUUCCUAGUCAGAUUUCCCUUUUUUUUUACCUUUAAUGGACUACCUUUGUAUGGUUAAUAAUUUUUAUGUUCUUUUGCAUCAUGUGGCAAGUUAAAUUGCCUGCCAUCUCUGCUUCACUCCACUUCCAUCUUCAAUUCCUAGAAUCUGAACCACUCUUUCGAGUAAUGGGAUCAACUGGAAGCAGAGAUAGUUGGCAUUUUAUCCGGAAGUAAAGACCAUAAAAAGUAAGAACAAAGCAAUGGAGAGUCCUUGCAGUUAUGACCUCUCAGCCUUCUCUCCCCCACUCACUCCUGAAGGCCCCUCUUCUCUCAUGAAGAAUAAAAUAAUUUGUAUCAUAUUCUUCUAUACAUAAAAGAUCAACUAUGACCUUAUUCUUUAAAAUAUUUCACAUAGGCCUAUACAGUUGUAUGCAUCUGUAGAAGUGUUGUCUGGUCUUUGUUUACAAGCGUCUGGUUAUGAGAAAAAAGAAGAAAAUUAAUGGGUUAUGGAGGGACAGAUCCAUCAGCAAGAACAAGAACUAUAGAAGAGGAAAAACGAAAAGCAAAAACAUGAGCGUAUAUUUUGUUUGCAUGUGAAGCGAGGAACGAGUUGUCGGCCACUGAAAAUAUCGGGGUCUUUUUUUGGGUGGGAACGAGAGAUUAUAUUAUUUUGGUGUUUGACCUCGUUCGGAGAGCUCUUGAAAAAGACUAGAGUAGCGAGUAGAAACCUACUUUUCUUCGGCUACACCGCCCUUUCCGAUAAUAUUCUAUACAUAUUUGCAUCUUG
This 2235-nucleotide unclassified non-coding RNA is filed under the name Hevea brasiliensis (rubber tree). The record is from RNAcentral. Lineage: Eukaryota; Viridiplantae; Streptophyta; Magnoliopsida; Malpighiales; Euphorbiaceae.